Molecule: non-coding RNA, 462 nt
Filed under: Bacteroides stercoris
Lineage: Bacteria; Pseudomonadati; Bacteroidota; Bacteroidia; Bacteroidales; Bacteroidaceae
Description: Bacterial large subunit ribosomal RNA
Rfam family: Bacterial large subunit ribosomal RNA
Source: Rfam by way of RNAcentral
GAGUGACGGCGUGCCUUUUGCAUAAUGAACCUACGAGUUACUUUUUCCGGCAAGGUUAAGGGUCUUGAGACCUGCAGCCGAAGCGAAAGCGAGUCUUAACAGGGCGUUCAGUCGGAAGGAGUAGACGCGAAACCAAGUGAUCUACCCUUGGGCAGGUUGAAGGAUGGGUAACACCAUCUGGAGGACCGAACCAAUAAGCGUUGAAAAGCUUCUGGAUGACCUGAGGGUGGGGGUGAAAGGCUAAUCAAACUUGGAGAUAGCUCGUACUCCCCGAAAUGCAUUUAGGUGCAGCCUUGACUUAUACUGGCAUGAGGUAGAGCGACUGAUAAGAUGCGAGGGCUUCACCGCCUAUCAAGUCUUGACAAACUCCGAAUGCGUGUCAGUUCUAUGUCAGGAGUGAGGGCAUGGGUGCUAAGGUCCAUGUCCUAAAGGAGAACAAUCCGGACCAACAGCUAAGGUCCC